Non-coding RNA from Megalops atlanticus (tarpon), 68 nucleotides. NCBI's taxonomy places the organism in Eukaryota, Metazoa, Chordata, Actinopteri, Elopiformes, Megalopidae. The record is from the annotation of a GenBank genome assembly.
GGUUCCAUAGUGGUUAUCACAUCUGCUUUACAUGCAGGAGGCUCUGGGUUUGAAUCCCAAUGGAACCA